GGAGUUUGGACCGUGUCUCAGUUCCAAUGUGGGGGACCUUCCUCUCAGAACCCCUACUGAUCGUCGGCCAGGUGGGCCGUUACCCCGCCUGCGACCUAAUCAGACGCAUCCCCAUCCCUUAGCGAUGAAUCUUUGCUUCACGUUAGAUGUCCGCUGUGAAGAACAUAGGGUAUUAAUCCGAUUUUCACCGGGCUAUGCCCUACUAAGGGGAAGGUUGGAUACGCGUUACUCACCCGUGCGCCGGUCGCCAUCAGAGUUUGCAAGCAAACUCCAUGCUGCCCCUCGACUUGCAUGUGUUAAGCCUGUAGCUAGCGUUCAUC
This 320-nucleotide ribosomal RNA is filed under the name uncultured Prevotella sp. RNAcentral describes it as "partial 16S ribosomal RNA". Lineage: Bacteria; Pseudomonadati; Bacteroidota; Bacteroidia; Bacteroidales; Prevotellaceae. The record is from RNAcentral.